RNAcentral lists this ribosomal RNA (1288 nucleotides) under Enterobacteriaceae bacterium 80E. RNAcentral's name for it is "bacterial SSU rRNA". It matches the Rfam family "Bacterial small subunit ribosomal RNA", at positions 112 to 1395 of the family's 1533-position model. Lineage: Bacteria; Pseudomonadati; Pseudomonadota; Gammaproteobacteria; Enterobacterales; Enterobacteriaceae. The record is from RNAcentral.
AAUGUCUGGGAAACUGCCCGAUGGAGGGGGAUAACUACUGGAAACGGUAGCUAAUACCGCAUAACGUCUUCGGACCAAAGUGGGGGACCUUCGGGCCUCACACCAUCGGAUGUGCCCAGAUGGGAUUAGCUAGUAGGUGGGGUAAUGGCUCACCUAGGCGACGAUCCCUAGCUGGUCUGAGAGGAUGACCAGCCACACUGGAACUGAGACACGGUCCAGACUCCUACGGGAGGCAGCAGUGGGGAAUAUUGCACAAUGGGCGCAAGCCUGAUGCAGCCAUGCCGCGUGUAUGAAGAAGGCCUUCGGGUUGUAAAGUACUUUCAGCGGGGAGGAAGGCGAUGGAGUUAAUAGCUUCAUCGAUUGACGUUACCCGCAGAAGAAGCACCGGCUAACUCCGUGCCAGCAGCCGCGGUAAUACGGAGGGUGCAAGCGUUAWUCGGAAUUACUGGGCGUAAAGCGCACGCAGGCGGUCUGUCAAGUCGGAUGUGAAAUCCCCGGGCUUAACCUGGGAACUGCAUUCGAAACUGGCAGGCUAGAGUCUUGUAGAGGGGGGGUAGAAUUCCAGGUGUAGCGGUGAAAUGCGUAGAGAUCUGGAGGAAUACCGGUGGCGAAGGCGGCCCCCUGGACAAAGACUGACGCUCAGGUGCGAAAGCGUGGGGAGCAAACAGGAUUAGAUACCCCUGGUAGUCCACGCCGUAAACGAUGUCGACUUGGAGGUUGUGCCCUUGAGGCGUGGCUUCCGGAGCUAACGCGUUAAGUCGACCGCCUGGGGAGUACGGCCGCAAGGUUAAAACUCAAAUGAAUUGACGGGGGCCCGCACAAGCGGUGGAGCAUGUGGUUUAAUUCGAUGCAACGCGAAGAACCUUACCUACUCUUGACAUCCAGAGAACUUAGCAGAGAUGCUUUGGUGCCUUCGGGAACUCUGAGACAGGUGCUGCAUGGCUGUCGUCAGCUCGUGUUGUGAAAUGUUGGGUUAAGUCCCGCAACGAGCGCAACCCUUAUCCUUUGUUGCCAGCGGUCCGGCCGGGAACUCAAAGGAGACUGCCAGUGAUAAACUGGAGGAAGGUGGGGAUGACGUCAAGUCAUCAUGGCCCUUACGAGUAGGGCUACACACGUGCUACAAUGGCGCAUACAAAGAGAAGCGACCUCGCGAGAGCAAGCGGACCUCAUAAAGUGCGUCGUAGUCCGGAUUGGAGUCUGCAACUCGACUCCAUGAAGUCGGAAUCGCUAGUAAUCGUAGAUCAGAAUGCUACGGUGAAUACGUUCCCGGGCCUUGUACACACCGCCC